This 275-nucleotide ribosomal RNA is filed under the name uncultured prokaryote. Its description in RNAcentral is "partial 16S ribosomal RNA". It matches the Rfam family "Bacterial small subunit ribosomal RNA", at positions 524 to 798 of the family's 1533-position model. The record is from RNAcentral.
CACGUAGGAGGCGAACGUUAUCCGGAUUUAUUGGGCGUAAAGCGCGUGUAGGUGGUUCUGUAAGUAGGGCGUGAAAGCUCCUGGCUCAACCGGGAGAGGCCGUUCUAUACUGCAGAGCUAGAGGAUGGUAGAGGGAGGUGGAAUUCCAGGUGUAGCGGUGGAAUGCGCAGAUAUCUGGAGGAACACCAGUGGCGAAGGCGGCCUCCUGGACCAUUCCUGACACUCAGACGCGAAAGCUAGGGUAGCAAACGGGAUUAGAUACCCGGGUAGUCCCU